CUGGCUCAGAUGAACGCUGCGGCAUGCUUAACACAUGCAAGUCGAACGGUAGCAGAGAAAGCUUGCUUCUUGCUGACGAGUGGCGGACGGGUGAGUAAUGUAUAGGAAAUUGCCUUAAGGUGGGGGAUAACAUUCGGAAACGAAUGCUAAUACCACAUAAUAACUACGGUUCAAAGUGGGGGCUCGCAAGACCUCACGCCCUAAGAGAUGCCUAUAUUGGAUUAGCUUGUUGGUGAGGUAAUGGCUCACCAAGGCGACGAUCCAUAGCUGGUUUGAGAGGAUGAUCAGCCACAUUGGGACUGAGACACGGCCCAAACUCCUACGGGAGGCAGCAGUGGGGAAUAUUGGACAAUGGGGGAAACCCUGAUCCAGCAAUGCCGCGUGUGUGAAAUGAAGGUCUUAGGAUUGUAAAGCACUUUUAGUAAUGAAGAAUGGUUAGUAGCUAAUACCUGCUAAUUUGACAUUAGUUACAGAAAAAGCACCGGCUAACUCCGUGCCAGCAGCCGC
RNAcentral lists this ribosomal RNA (507 nucleotides) under uncultured bacterium. Its description in RNAcentral is "bacterial SSU rRNA". It matches the Rfam family "Bacterial small subunit ribosomal RNA", at positions 19 to 518 of the family's 1533-position model. The record is from RNAcentral.